Molecule: non-coding RNA, 864 nt
Organism: Cajanus cajan (pigeon pea)
Lineage: Eukaryota; Viridiplantae; Streptophyta; Magnoliopsida; Fabales; Fabaceae
Source: RefSeq, a predicted model, not a curated record
UUACCACGUAGCAUGUCGACAAAGUAACUGAUAGUGAAAUGUCAAAGCAAGUGGUUAUCUUUGCUGAUAGGACUUGGGCAUCUAUUUCUUGGUGCUAAUCUGCACAAGCACAUGUAAAAUCCACAUCUCCACGGUCUAUCUUUUUGUCUGCUUCAUCUUUUUAGAGGAAUUCUCUUUGCGCAUCAGGAACAUGGAAGGGUACUUCAUUCUUUAUGUUUUAAAUAAUUAUUAUAAGAAAUGCAAAAUAAAAGACCCUAUAUGAUAUAGUUACCACCUAUCUACGAAUAAAUAUCACAUACAUGUGCAAUUUGCAUUCAGGAAAGCAUAAAGCAUUUACUGCUUAGUAGACUGCUAUUACCAACUUUUAUAACAAAGGGAAGAAUGUAGGUAGCUCACUUAAUUUAUUGUUGCAGAUCAAGCUGGCAUCUGUAAAAUUGGCUAUGAAAUAUAUGAAGAGAGUCUCUGCUGAGCUUGAGACAGGUGGUGGUGGGCCUGAAGAAGAAGAGCUUAUAGUUCAAGGAGUGAGAUUUGCAUUCCGAGUACAUCAGUUUGCUGGAGGGUUUGAUGUGGAUACAAUGAGGGCAUUUCAAGAAUUGAGAGACAAAGCGAGGUCAUGCCACGUUCAAUGUCACAAUCAGCCACAGAAAUUAUAUUGCAGGUCUGCAACAUGCUAAUGCUGGAGCAAACUCAGCUUCGGAGAAUUAGUUAAGCCCUUUUUCUGUAUUUUGUGAAUAGAAUGGCAAAUAGUAUUAGCCAUCGUUAAAGUAGUAGAACGCAUUCAUAAUUCAUGAUUAAUUCUUCCAUUCAUUACUGGAAAAACAAGAAUCCGGUUCCACUCUAGCACUUGUUGCUAUUCCGAAUUCA